This 361-nucleotide transfer-messenger RNA is filed under the name Marinitoga aeolica. Its description in RNAcentral is "Marinitoga sp. BP5-C20A transfer-messenger RNA". It matches the Rfam family "transfer-messenger RNA". Rfam says of the family: Bacterial tmRNA, also known as 10Sa RNA or SsrA, is named for its dual tRNA and mRNA-like properties. Lineage: Bacteria; Thermotogati; Thermotogota; Thermotogae; Petrotogales; Petrotogaceae. The record is from RNAcentral.
GGGGACGAAACGGUUUCGACGGGGGUAGAGUAAGUCGGAAAGCGAGCCGUGGAAGACUGUUACCACGUUAAAUAAUCGGUCAAAAAAGAGAGUUGCCGAAGAAAAUUACGCUUUAGCUGCUUAAUUUAAUUAGCAGCCGUCCUAUUAACCGUUCUGGGUCAAAUGGUUAAAUAGGACGUCAUAAUUAUGACCCUUACCUAAAAACCUUUCUCCCGGGUUUUUGGGGAAAUCUCAGGGAGAUAGCCUUUUUUUAUCCUGCCUGUGGGAGAAGAAAAGGCAAAAUUUAAAACACAGGCUGCGCUCGGAGAUGUCCGGCUUACUUUACUUUCGGACGCGGGUUCGACUCCCGCCGUCUCCACCA